RNAcentral lists this ribosomal RNA (465 nucleotides) under uncultured bacterium. RNAcentral's name for it is "bacterial SSU rRNA". It matches the Rfam family "Bacterial small subunit ribosomal RNA", at positions 33 to 507 of the family's 1533-position model. The record is from RNAcentral.
ACGACGCUGGCGGCGUGCUUAACACAUGCAAGUCGAACGGUGAACCAGAGCUUGCUCUGGGGAUCAGUGGCGAACGGGUGAGUAACACGUGGGCAACCUGCCCCAGACUCUGGGAUAACCUCGGGAAACCGAUGCUAAUACCGGAUACGACCACUUCGGACAUCCGACGGUGGUGGAAAGUUUUUCGGUCUGGGAUGGGCCCGCGGCCUAUCAGCUAGUUGGUGGGGUAAUGGCCUACCAGGGGCGACGACGGGUAGCCGGCCUGAGAGGGCGACCGGCCACACUGGAACUGAGACACGGUCCAGACUCCUACGGGAGGCAGCAGUGGGGAAUAUUGCACAAUGGGCGAAAGCCUGAUGCAGCGACGCCGCGUGAGGGACGACGGCCUUCGGGUUGUAAACCUCUUUCAGCAGGGACGAAGCGAAAGUGACUGUACCUGCAGAAGAAGCACCGGCUAACUACGUG